AAGCCACUCUCUUGUAUGUUGCCAACAUGUCACUUACACACGCGUAUUAUUACACACACACACACACGCACGCACGCAUGUUUCCCCUAGCUAAUACAAAUAAAACUAUGUUAACUCAUACAAUUGUGCACACUCAUAAUGAUACUAUCACACCUCAUUCGCUACACAAACAUGACACUAAAAAUGCCGUCACCAUUCUCCAAGGAAAAUCGCUGCCGCUUCUACAGAUUCUACAGCCCAACACAUACAGUGAAUGUAAGCAUGAACGAGGCGUGUACCUCCGUAAAGGAGGAAAUUAAGGAAGAAGUCAAGGAGGUGGGGGAGAAGAUACAAGAGGCACAGGAUGUGUGGCAGCACUGGCAAGAGACCGUGGCGAGUGACGUGUAGGAGUGCUUCACCAAGGUUGGAGAGCAUAAUAGCAGCUUUGGUGCCAAGCACAGAAAACGCGCCAGGACUCGCCCAAGUGGUCUUCACGCCAAAAUGCUCAAAGCGUAAAGGUCCCUUAUAAUCAGCGCCAAAGGUUCCUUUAGUAAAGGCUGGUUCAGUAACCCUUAAGUUCAGGGUUGCGAACUCUAGCCUGUGAAUCGGCAUUAUCGGUGUUUUAAACAUUAUUUCUUCUGAUAUUCACUCCCACAAGUAAUUUUAAGGUGCCAGAAAUGUUUUGAGAUGUAGAACUAAAUAAAAUGCGUUGAAUCUCCCAAAUAAGUGCAGACAAAAAACUCCGCUGGGAACUGGUGGCUCCUCAGCGGUCGUGCUGUUUUGGCAGGAUGGAAUUCCUUGUGAUGGAAGAACUUGACCGUGGUCUAAGGCGAUAGAGAAGGUAUAGUUCAGUGAUGAACAAUUAUACACUUCGAUUUUAUUGCAGUUUCAACCAGUACACCGUAUGUAACUAUAACCCUUUGCAGGUUCUAUAUCACUGUUUGGAGCAUUUCUAUCCCCAUUUUACCUUGUCAACAAUUAAUGAUAAGUUUACCUUAUGUAGGGCCCGGGAAUUGGGGGGAGGGUUACAGAAUGUUAGGUUAUUUUACCAUAUGGGGAUGUCCAGGAGGGGCAAAAUCUUCCCUCGGUUAUGAGGUUACAAAAUGUUAGGUUAGUUUACCUUAUGAGGGUGGUCCAAUAGGUUACAGGGCGUCAAGGGGGGGAGUAUUAAUUGAAACUGCAAAUUUACUUAGACUUCUGCUUGAAGAAAUUGUGCAGCUGUCCCAGGAACUAGAUCACAUGUUGCUCCACCGAAUGGCAUGGCCCAUGCUCUGCUCAUUGCAACAUGUUAAUUGCCCUCGAGAUCCCUUGCAAGUGGUGGUUUUCAAAGUGUUGUUGGUGAUGCCACUAGUGUGCACCAGUCGUGUUUCAAUAGCAAUAGCUGGUGUCAAUGAAGCUCUCUACAGGAAAGUACUCACAGAGGUUAAGAUGCCCAGCGGACUACAGCAGCGCACAACUGUACUGGGAAAAUUUGUUGUGUGAUAGUGAAUGAAGUGGAAGUACACACACCUCAUUUAUUUGAACAAACUGCAAUCUCUGAAGAAAAUCAGAGCAUGGAGAAUAUGGUGGUAAUGUGCUUCUAGGUAUGUAUGGUUUGGCAGAAAGUUUAAGUACUAUAACAAUCAAAUUCCAUAAUCCAUAGAUAAAAAUAUAAUUUAUUAUACCACUUGCAAGUAUCACCUGUCUCACUGUGAAAAAGAUUGUAUAUCAUAGUAUUUACAUAUAGAAAGUAAACAACUUGGAUAACAGGUAAUCAGUUAGGAUUGUUAUGAUGAAAAAAAAGUUUUUUGUUCUAACAUCUUAUGGAGUGGGAAAAAACAAAAACUAAGUCAAACACAGUAUUACUUUUAAAGUGGCAGCAUUUACUGGUGAAGAUGAUAAAAUAUGAUCAAAUGACAACUUUUAUUGGACAAUUAAAAUAUAUUCUUUAUUUUGCCCUAGAUAAGUAAGAUAUCUGCAUGGAAUGCAUGCCAGAAGUACAGAAUACAAUAGAAAUGGGAGAGAGGAAAAAAACAAGUAUUCUUGGAUACUUGUAACAGAGAUUUAUGCUUCAUCCAAAACUCUAGGUAUCACAGUCUGUGAGAUUAUAUAGAAUCACUUCAAAUCAUUUGUAGUUCACAUCACUUCUGUUUUAUCCAGCAUAGAAAAAUAUACAUAAGAAAACACUAUCCUACAUAAUCUUCAAA
This is a long non-coding RNA of Scylla paramamosain (green mud crab), 2165 nucleotides long. RefSeq lists it as uncharacterized. The transcript has 2 exons. Lineage: Eukaryota; Metazoa; Arthropoda; Malacostraca; Decapoda; Portunidae. The record is from RefSeq and is a predicted model, not a curated record.